AAUAAUGCUUUGAUAGAAAGAGUAAUUUAUUGAGGGUGUUAUAGAGAGUCGGCGGUGGUGGAAGUCCGAUACCAAUCAGUAAAUGAAGAACAUUCUUGAGCAUCUAACCGAAAUUGAAAAAGAGUAGGCUUAGACGGGGAUAGCCUGAUAUCGACUAUGGAGUAUCGAUUGUAAUACAGUCCGUACUUAUAUUCAAGUGAGCAUAUUGCUAACUAAGGUGGUACCGCGGAAAUUAACCUUUCGUCCUUUAU
This 251-nucleotide non-coding RNA is filed under the name Tissierella praeacuta. RNAcentral describes it as "T-box sequence". It matches the Rfam family "T-box leader". Rfam says of the family: Uncharged tRNA acts as the effector for transcription antitermination of genes in the T-box leader family. T-boxes are found upstream of many aminoacyl-tRNA synthetase genes and some amino acid biosynthetic genes usually in Gram-positive bacteria. Lineage: Bacteria; Bacillati; Bacillota; Tissierellia; Tissierellales; Tissierellaceae. The record is from RNAcentral.